UACGGAGGGUGCAAGCGUUAUCCGGAUUCACUGGGUUUAAAGGGUGCGUAGGCGGGUAAGUAAGUCCGUGGUGAAAUCUCUGAGCUUAACUCAGAAACUGCCGUGGAUACUAUUUGCCUUGAAUAUUGUGGAGGUGAGCGGAAAUAUGUCAUGUAGCGGUGAAAUGCUUAGAUAUGACAUAGAACACCAAUUGCGAAGGCAGCUCACUACACAAUCAUUGACGCUGAGGCACGAAAGCGUGGGGAGUCAAACAGGA
RNAcentral lists this ribosomal RNA (256 nucleotides) under uncultured bacterium. Its description in RNAcentral is "partial 16S ribosomal RNA". It matches the Rfam family "Bacterial small subunit ribosomal RNA", at positions 524 to 777 of the family's 1533-position model. The record is from RNAcentral.